GAAAGCAGCACACAAACGAACGGGAUCAACGGAGAGAAAUUCUACCCGACCUGAAACAAAUGGCAUGUUUCUAACAGUUACAUGACCAGAGACGUUACAAACCCAGGAUGGAAUUCAACUCGCAGAGGCUGACCAGAUUGAAAUAGCCUCCAUAGAGCUAACAAGUGGUCAGACCCUGUAGGACUAAACGGAGCCCAGUGAGAGCAUUAUGUGGUCCCAGCAAAAGAGCCCCGCGUGCCGCCAUGAUGU
Molecule: long non-coding RNA, 249 nt
Organism: Perca fluviatilis (European perch)
Lineage: Eukaryota; Metazoa; Chordata; Actinopteri; Perciformes; Percidae
Exons: 3
Source: RefSeq, a predicted model, not a curated record